ACACUUGCCUGGAAGGGGAGACACCAUGAUCAAGAAGGUGGUCCAGGGCGAGGCUCGGCCAUUGCACUCUGGCUGUGCUUACUCCUGCCAAUUCCCCAAAUGUGGGAAUCUUAACUGCAUGAUUAAUGGUAGUGGGGGACUGCGUUUGCGCUCUCCCCUG
Ctenopharyngodon idella (grass carp) is the source of this 160-nucleotide small nuclear RNA. RefSeq annotates it as U1 spliceosomal RNA. Lineage: Eukaryota; Metazoa; Chordata; Actinopteri; Cypriniformes; Xenocyprididae. The transcript has a single exon. The record is from RefSeq and is a predicted model, not a curated record.